This 379-nucleotide ribosomal RNA is filed under the name uncultured cyanobacterium. RNAcentral's name for it is "bacterial SSU rRNA". It matches the Rfam family "Bacterial small subunit ribosomal RNA", at positions 376 to 770 of the family's 1533-position model. The record is from RNAcentral. Lineage: Bacteria; Bacillati; Cyanobacteriota.
CGCAAGCCUGACGGAGCAAUACCGCGUGGGGGAUGACGGUCUGUGGAUUGUAAACCCCUUUUCUCUAGGAAGAAGUUCUGACGGUACUAGAGGAAUCAGCAUCGGCUAACUCCGUGCCAGCAGCCGCGGUAAUACGGAGGAGGCAAGCGUUAUCCGGAAUCAUUGGGCGUAAAGAGUCUGUAGGUGGCACUUCAAGUCUGCUGUUAAAGACCGAAGCUAAACUUCGGAAAGGCGGUGGAAACUGAAGAGCUAGAGUAAAGCAGGGGUAGAGGGAAUUCCUAGUGUAGCGGUGAAAUGCGUAGAGAUUAGGAAGAACACCAGUGGCGAAGGCGCUCUACUGGGCUAAAACUGACACUGAGAGACGAAAGCUAGGGUAGCG